CCAAUAGCGUAUAUUAAAGUUGUUGCAGUUAAAAAGCUCGUAGUUGAAUUUCGGGAUCAAUAUAUCGGUCGUGCCAUUGGUACGUACUGGUAUCAUUGGUUUCUCCUUUCUGACGAACCAUGAUGUCAUUAAUUUGGUGUUAUGGGAAGUUAGGACUGUUACUUUGAAAAAAUUAGAGUGUUUAAAGCAGGCUUUAGCUUGAAUACAUUAGCAUGGAAUAAUGAAAUAGGACGUUCGAACCUAUUUUGUUGGUUUUUAGGAUCAACGUAAUGAUUAAUAGGGAUAGUUGGGGGAAUUAGUAUUCAAUUGUCAGAGGUGAAAUUCUUGGAUUUAUUGAAGACUAACUACUGCGAAAGCAUUUGCCAAGGAUGUUUUCAUUAAUCAAGAACGAAAGUUAGGGGAUCGAAGACGAUCAGAUACCGUCGUAGUCUUAACCAUAAACUAUGCCGACUAGGGAUCGGAUGAUGUUAAUUUUUUAAUGACUCAUUCGGCGCCUUACG
RNAcentral lists this unclassified non-coding RNA (500 nucleotides) under uncultured Glomus. RNAcentral's name for it is "SSU rRNA". It matches the Rfam family "Eukaryotic small subunit ribosomal RNA", at positions 591 to 1092 of the family's 1831-position model. The record is from RNAcentral. Lineage: Eukaryota; Fungi; Glomeromycota; Glomeromycetes; Glomerales; Glomeraceae.